This 331-nucleotide ribosomal RNA is filed under the name uncultured bacterium. RNAcentral's name for it is "bacterial SSU rRNA". It matches the Rfam family "Bacterial small subunit ribosomal RNA", at positions 568 to 898 of the family's 1533-position model. The record is from RNAcentral.
CGCGUAGACGGUUUUGUAAGUCAGAUGUGAAAUCCCUGGGCUCAACCUGGGAACUGCAUUUGAGACUGCAUGGCUAGAGUAUGGAAGAGGGAAGUGGAAUUUCCGGUGUAGCGGUGAAAUACGUAGAUAUCGGAAGGAACACCAGUGGCGAAAGCGACUUCCUGGUCCAAUACUGACGUUCAUGUGCGAAAGCGUGGGGAGCAAACAGGAUUAGAUACCCUGGUAGUCCACGCCAUAAACGAUGACAACUAGAUGUUGGGAGGGUCUGCCUCUCGGUGUCGCAGCUAACGCGUUAAGUUGUCCGCCUGGGGAGUACGGCCGCAAGGUUGAA